AGGAUGAACGCUGGCGGCGUGCCUAACACAUGCAAGUCGAACGUGAUCCAUGACUUCGGUUGUGGUGAAAGUGGCAAACGGGUGAGUAACGCGUGGGAAUCUGCCCAGAGGUAGGGAAUAACCGCGGGAAACUGCGGCUAAUACCCUAUGUGCCCUACGGGGCAAAGAUUUAUCGCCUUUGGAGGAGCCCGCGUCGGAUUAGGUAGUUGGUAAGGUAACGGCCUACCAAGCCUACGAUCCGUAGCUGGUCUGAGAGGAUGAUCAGCCACACUGGGACUGAGAUACGGCCCAGACUCCUACGGGAGGCAGCAGUGGGGAAUAUUGGACAAUGGGGGCAACCCUGAUCCAGCAAUGCCGCGUGAGUGAUGAAGGCCUUCGGGUUGUAAAGCUCUUUCGGCGGGAAGAUGAUGACGGUACCCGCAGAAGAAGCCCCGGCUAACUUCGUGCCAGCAGCCGC
This 457-nucleotide ribosomal RNA is filed under the name uncultured bacterium. RNAcentral's name for it is "SSU rRNA". It matches the Rfam family "Bacterial small subunit ribosomal RNA", at positions 26 to 518 of the family's 1533-position model. The record is from RNAcentral.